Molecule: ribosomal RNA, 492 nt
Filed under: uncultured bacterium
Lineage: Bacteria
Description: partial 16S ribosomal RNA
Rfam family: Bacterial small subunit ribosomal RNA
Source: RNAcentral
AGUGAACGCUGGCGGUAGGCCUAACACAUGCAAGUCGAACGGCAGCACAGUAAGAGCUUGCUCUUACGGGUGGCGAGUGGCGGACGGGUGAGGAAUACAUCGGAAUCUACUUUUUCGUGGGGGAUAACGUAGGGAAACUUACGCUAAUACCGCAUACGACCUACGGGUGAAAGCAGGGGAUCUUCGGACCUUGCGCGAUUGAAUGAGCCGAUGUCGGAUUAGCUAGUUGGCGGGGUAAAGGCCCACCAAGGCGACGAUCCGUAGCUGGUCUGAGAGGAUGAUCAGCCACACUGGAACUGAGCCACGGUCCAGACUCCUACGGGAGGCAGCAGUGGGGAAUAUUGGACAAUGGGCGCAAGCCUGAUCCAGCCAUACCGCGUGGGUGAAGAAGGCCUUCGGGUUGUAAGGCCCUUUUGUUGGGAAAGAAAAGCAGCAGGUUAAUACCCCGCUGUUCUGACGGUACCCAAAGAAUAAGCACCGGCUAACUUCGUG